UCGUCCUUGCCAGUGAUUUUUCUGUUCUCUUGUGCUCAGCUCUGACAGGGGAGUCUGGCAGGACACACAGCAAUCUCCCUCUCAGUUUAGGAGAGCCGUUCUAAGAAUAGGGCUGGCUCUUAAAGGCACGAGAGGACAAU
Ailuropoda melanoleuca (giant panda) is the source of this 140-nucleotide non-coding RNA. The record is from Ensembl. NCBI's taxonomy places the organism in Eukaryota, Metazoa, Chordata, Mammalia, Carnivora, Ursidae.